Molecule: ribosomal RNA, 204 nt
Filed under: uncultured soil bacterium
Lineage: Bacteria
Description: partial 16S ribosomal RNA
Rfam family: Bacterial small subunit ribosomal RNA
Source: RNAcentral
AGAUUGAACGCUGGCGGCAUGCCUUACACAUGCAAGUCGAACGGUAGAGUAGCAAUACUUGAGAGUGGCGAACGGGUGAGUAAUAUAUCGGAACGUGCCCAGUCGUGGGGAUAACGUAGAGAAAUUUACGCUAAUACCGCAUACGAUCUAAGGAUGAAAGCGGGGGACCUAAGGCCUCGCGCGAUUGGAGCGGCUGAUAUCAGA